RNAcentral lists this ribosomal RNA (439 nucleotides) under uncultured bacterium. RNAcentral describes it as "partial 16S ribosomal RNA". It matches the Rfam family "Bacterial small subunit ribosomal RNA", at positions 339 to 795 of the family's 1533-position model. The record is from RNAcentral.
CUACGGGCGGCUGCAGUGGGGAAUCUUAGACAAUGGGCGCAAGCCUGAUCUAGCCAUGCCGCGUGAGUGAUGAAGGCCUUAGGGUCGUAAAGCUCUUUCGCUGGGGAAGAUAAUGACGGUACCCAGUAAAGAAACCCCGGCUAACUCCGUGCCAGCAGCCGCGGUAAUACGGAGGGGGUUAGCGUUGUUCGGGAUUACUGGGCGUAAAGCGCGCGUAGGCGGACUGUUAAGUCGGGGGUGAAAUCCCGGGGCUCAACCCCGGAACGGCCUUCGAUACUGGCAGUCUGGAGUGCGAGAGAGGUGAGUGGAAUUCCGAGUGUAGAGGUGAAAUUCGUAGAUAUUCGGAGGAACACCAGUGGCGAAGGCGGCUCACUGGCUCGAUACUGACGCUGAGGUGCGAAAGUGUGGGGAGCAAACAGGAUUAGAUACCCCGGUAGUC